UACGGAGGGGGCUAGCGUUGUUCGGAAUUACUGGGCGUAAAGCGCACGUAGGCGGCUUGGUAAGCGUGCGGUGAAAGCCCGGGGCUCAACCCCGGGUCGGCCGUGCGAACUGCUGGGCUGGAGCACUGUAGAGGCAGGUGGAAUUCCGGGUGUAGCGGUGGAAUGCGUAGAGAUCCGGAAGAACACCGGUGGCGAAGGCGGCCUGCUGGGCAGUAGCUGACGCUGAGGCGUGAAAGCCAGGGGAGCAAACGGG
This 253-nucleotide ribosomal RNA is filed under the name uncultured bacterium. RNAcentral describes it as "partial 16S ribosomal RNA". It matches the Rfam family "Bacterial small subunit ribosomal RNA", at positions 524 to 776 of the family's 1533-position model. The record is from RNAcentral.